Molecule: long non-coding RNA, 856 nt
Organism: Oncorhynchus keta (chum salmon)
Lineage: Eukaryota; Metazoa; Chordata; Actinopteri; Salmoniformes; Salmonidae
Exons: 6
Source: RefSeq, a predicted model, not a curated record
UGUCCUCGUUUAGCUAGUGUAGGUCCCUAACUUGUUUUUCAGUCCUCGUUUAGCUAGUGUAGGUCUCUAACUUGUUUUUCAGUCCUCGUUUAGCUAGUGUAGGUCUCUGACUUGUCCCUCUGUCCUCGUUUAGCUAGUGUAGGUCUCUAACUUGUUUUUCAGUCCUCGUUUAGCUAGUUUAGGUCUCUAACUUGUUUUUCAGUCCCCGUUUAGCUAGUGUAGGUCUCUGACUUGUCCCUCUGUCCUUGUUUAACUAGUGUAGGUCUCUAACGUGUUUUUCAGUCCUCGUUUAGCUAGUGUAGGUCUCUGACUUGUCCCUCUGCCCUCGUUUAGCUAGUGUAGGUCCCUAACUUGUUUUUCAGUCAUCGUUUAGCUAGUGUAGGUCUCUGACUUGUCCCUCUGCCCUCGUUUAGCUAGUGUAGGUCUCUAACUUGUUUUUCAGUCCUCAUUUAGCUAGUGUAGGUCUCUAACUUGUUUUUCAGUCCUCGUUUAGCUGGUUUAGGUCUCUAAGUUGUUUUUCAGUCCUCGUUUAUCUAGUGUAGGUCUCUAACUUGUUUUUCAGUCCUCAUUUAGCUAGUGUCUGUCUCUAACUUGUUUUUCAGUCCUCAUUUAGCUAGUGUAGGUCUCUGACUUGUCCCUCUGUCCUCGUUUAACUAGUGUAGGUCUCUAAGUUGUUUUUCAGUCCUCAUUUAACUAGUGUAGGUCUCUAAAUUGUUUUUCGGUCCUUGUUUAGCUCGUGUCGGUCUCUAACUUGCUUUUCAGUCCUUGUUUAGCUAGUGUAUGUCUCUGACUUGUCCCUCUGUCCUCGUUUAGCUAGUGUAGGUCUCUGACUUGUUCCUCUGUCCUCAUUUAGCUA